Molecule: transfer RNA, 76 nt
Filed under: Chlorobiaceae bacterium
Lineage: Bacteria; Pseudomonadati; Chlorobiota; Chlorobiia; Chlorobiales; Chlorobiaceae
Description: tRNA-Lys
Rfam family: tRNA
About the family: Transfer RNA (tRNA) molecules are approximately 80 nucleotides in length.
Source: RNAcentral
GCGUUCGUAGCUCAGUUGGUAGAGCAACUGACUCUUAAUCAGUGGGUCCAAGGUUCGAAUCCUUGCGAGCGCACCA